GACGAACGCUGGCGGCGUGCCUAAUACAUGCAAGUAGAACGCUGAAGGAGGAGCUUGCUUCUCUGGAUGAGUUGCGAACGGGUGAGUAACGCGUAGGUAACCUGCCUGGUAGCGGGGGAUAACUAUUGGAAACGAUAGCUAAUACCGCAUAAGAGUAGAUGUUGCAUGACAUUUGCUUAAAAGGUGCAAUUGCAUCACUACCAGAUGGACCUGCGUUGUAUUAGCUAGUUGGUGGGGUAACGGCUCACCAAGGCGACGAUACAUAGCCGACCUGAGAGGGUGAUCGGCCACACUGGGACUGAGACACGGCCCAGACUCCUACGGGAGGCAGCAGUAGGGAAUCUUCGGCAAAGGACGGAAGUCUGACCGAGCAACGCCGCGUGAGUGAAGAAGGUUUUCGGAUCGUAAAGCUCUGUUGUAAGAGAAGAACGAGUGUGAGAGUGGAAAGUUCACACUGUGACGGUAUCUUACCAGAAAGGGACGGCUAACUACGU
This 494-nucleotide ribosomal RNA is filed under the name uncultured bacterium. Its description in RNAcentral is "partial 16S ribosomal RNA". It matches the Rfam family "Bacterial small subunit ribosomal RNA", at positions 28 to 506 of the family's 1533-position model. The record is from RNAcentral.